UAGAAUACAACAAACAACAAGCUUUAGAUUAACAACUGCAACGGAAAUAACAAUCUAUUAGAAGAGUCAAGUAGAGCAUGAUGUCUACUAUCUUCUAUGAUUUAAAAAUCAAUCGUCAAUAUUUUAUCACUGUAACACCAAUUAAUAAUUAUUUCAAAUCAACGAAUUAUUUAUGCACUACGGCCAAAGAUAUUCGUUUGUAUCACCAGUGGUCAUGAUCAUGAUCAUGUCAAACACAUGUCGAUCUUUGCACUACAGGACAAACAUAUUCAUCAAUCAACUGUUCAUCUUUGCACUACGGGCCAAAAAGAACUUUCAUCACCAUUAAAGUCUGAG
Molecule: long non-coding RNA, 336 nt
Filed under: Panax ginseng (ginseng)
Lineage: Eukaryota; Viridiplantae; Streptophyta; Magnoliopsida; Apiales; Araliaceae
Description: long non-coding RNA (PGIN_LNC012230)
Source: RNAcentral